GAAAAUGAACCGGAAGUGAAGAAUUCCUCAGCUGUGUCCCUCUCAUGCUUCAAGAAGCCGAACUUCUGCUUGGAGAUCAAGGCUCAGGAUGCAGGCAAGGCAAAGCUGCAGGAAGGAGGGAGUUGGACACACACAGAUAGUACCACCCAGAGAUGGCAGUAGAGUUUGGAAUGUUGCAUCUACAAGUCAAGGCGUGUUGCUGGCCCAGUUGGAACUGAGAAGAGUUAUCUGUUGCAGCAUCCCAGGGAAGACAUCCACAGAGGGGCCUGGCUUGCCUUUCCUGAGUGUAUCCUGGACCGCUGCAGAGGGAAGGAAGAUGCUGUCGUCCAUUCAGUUGCAGGGCCUCAUGGGGAGUGAGGCACAAGGCUUUGAUGAUUAAAGGGAAAUCAACAUGGGGCCAAGGGGAUCUUCAGGAGGGAGGUGUGACUCUCACAGCCAAGGUUUGGAGCCAGAGAAGUAGGUAUUGAAGAUGGAGAGACCAGUCAGGUGUGGUCAGGGAGGCAGGGGUGAUGAUGGAGCAGAACCUGGAGCCAGAGGCCACUGGUGUUGAAUACAAGGAGAGACCUGAACUUUGGUGUCAUGAUAAGGAGCUUUGGCAAUAAGACAGCAAAGGCACAGGAGUGACAGGAGAAGGUUUGCUCCUCAAGAGAUACACGAGGAUGAUGGACAUGGUCAACCCUGUGGCACAAUGGUACCCUGAGGAGAGAAGAGAAUCACACAUUCCUCAAGCACUGGGGUCCUCAAGAGAGGGGAGUCAUACAGAGGUUGGGAGUCCAACACUGCUGUCAUGAUACUGAGAACCAGGGUCUUGGGGGUGACCAAGGCAAGAGGAAGAAGGAAGAGGGAUCAGAGACAUUGAUGUAGAGACAUGGCCUCCAAAGGGAGUCGUUGCUGACAUACAAAGCAAGCAUGAUUCUCCUGAAAGGACCAUGAAACCCUGGAAGGAAGAAAAAGCUCCAUGAAGCUGUGACUCAGGAGCCAAGCACGCUGGUCCUCACCCUGUGGGCGGUGGGGUUACAUUGAACGAGAUGCAGGGGUUAGAAUCCCAGGCGUGUGCGUGGGAGGCUGGCUGCGACCGGGAAAGAGUUAAUAAUUAAACUAUUUGUGCUACUGUG
RNAcentral lists this long non-coding RNA (1115 nucleotides) under Mus musculus (house mouse). RNAcentral's name for it is "predicted gene, 17746 (Gm17746)". The record is from RNAcentral. Lineage: Eukaryota; Metazoa; Chordata; Mammalia; Rodentia; Muridae.